RNAcentral lists this ribosomal RNA (134 nucleotides) under Chinchilla lanigera (long-tailed chinchilla). Lineage: Eukaryota; Metazoa; Chordata; Mammalia; Rodentia; Chinchillidae. The record is from RNAcentral.
GUCUACAGCCAGACCACCCUGAAUGCACCUGAUCUUGUCUGAUCUCAGAAUAUAAGCAGGGUCAAGCCUGGUUAGUACUUGGAUGGGAGAACUUUUACUCUUAAAAAAAAUGGAAAACACUGGGAAAAUGGACA